Molecule: transfer RNA, 73 nt
Filed under: Candidatus Nealsoniibacteriota bacterium
Lineage: Bacteria; Candidatus Nealsoniibacteriota
Description: Candidatus Nealsonbacteria bacterium tRNA-Met
Rfam family: tRNA
About the family: Transfer RNA (tRNA) molecules are approximately 80 nucleotides in length.
Source: RNAcentral
GCCGGUGUAGCUCAAUGGUUAGAGCAAUGGCAUCAUAAGCCAGAGGUUAUAGGUUCGAAUCCCAUCACCGGCA